AUGCACCAUGCACCACUCCCCGAUCCACCAACCCACCGCCGCCCCGAGGCCGGCCAACUACCACCGCGCCCCCUCCCCCCACCGGUGCUCCUCCCAACCGCCCCACCUUCAUUGGUGCGCCCUUCCCCGCCCGAGACCGGUGAUCUGGACAGAGUGCCCCACCACCCAAUUGCCGGCGUGGAUCCUUGCGCACCACCCACCUCGCGUGGCUGUCGCGGCGCAUCCGGUUGCGGCGUCCACCGUCGUCCUCAUCUCCCUUCCAUUCCCCAGCUACCAGGUCGAGCUGGUGUUGGCCGCCCGCGACUCCCAGCGGCCGAAUCCAGGCCGCACCGGCCCUCUCGCGCCGCCCAGCAGCUGGAUCCAGGUGCAUCGGCGCUCCCGCGGUGCGCUGCCGCCGGAUCCAGGUCACUGGCUCAACGCCGAGGACCCCAGGGCAGAGGGCCCCUUGCCAUGACCCUUCCAGCAACCGGAGGUGCUCGAAUCGCCCGCAGAUUGAGGAGCAUCGGGGCGAGAAGUAAUCCUCGCCGCCACCACUCCCCAGCAACCGAAGCAAUGCACCGGCGCCACCCUCGCAGCCUAAUCCCUAAGCUGUGGUCGGUGCGGAUCCUGGCGAGCAGCAGUUCCUAUGCUCCACCUUGCAGUUCGCUACCCCCUCCUCUGACCUCGCACAUCACCGCCGGAUCCAGCUCCUCUCCUUGCAACGUCGAUGAGUUCCAUCUUGGCCGCUCGCUGCCCAGAUUUUUUUGUCAACUCAGUGCAAAUUGGUGUGUUUGUCAAAAGGUGCGAAGAAGGUCAACGACGGUGACGGCAUCCCGGGGACGUGACUUGCCGCCGGUGCAGUUUACAGAAGGCAUUUUUUGCAUUUGCAGAUUUCGGAUGUGCACUUCAUCUUGUGUGGUUGGCCAGUGCAGUGCGCUUCCGGUGUUCGCUCAUUUUUCCGCUCGUUUUUCCGUUUCUUAUAGCUUGGGUCAGGCGGUCCGCAGCAUGUGCGUGCAGUGCGGCAUGUGGGUGUGUGCAGUGCUCAACAACGGUCGUGUGUGUCUUUAA
RNAcentral lists this ribosomal RNA (1047 nucleotides) under Triticum aestivum (bread wheat). Its description in RNAcentral is "partial small subunit ribosomal RNA". Lineage: Eukaryota; Viridiplantae; Streptophyta; Magnoliopsida; Poales; Poaceae. The record is from RNAcentral.